UACGGAGGGGGCUAGCGUUGUUCGGAAUUACUGGGCGUAAAGCGCACGUAGGCGGACUGUUAAGUCGGGGGUGAAAUCCUGGGGCUCAACCUCAGAAUUGCCUCCGAUACUGGCAGUCUCGAGUGCGGGAGAGGUGAGUGGAAUUCCCAGUGUAGAGGUGAAAUUCGUAGAUAUUGGGAAGAACACCAGUGGCGAAGGCGGCUCACUGGACCAUAACUGACACUCACAGGACGAAAGCUAGGGGAGCGAAUGGG
This 254-nucleotide ribosomal RNA is filed under the name uncultured bacterium. RNAcentral describes it as "partial 16S ribosomal RNA". It matches the Rfam family "Bacterial small subunit ribosomal RNA", at positions 524 to 776 of the family's 1533-position model. The record is from RNAcentral.